CCUACGGGAGGCAGCAGUGGGGAAUAUUGGGCAAUGGAGGAAACUCUGACCCAGCGACGCCGCGUGCGGGAUGAAGGCCUUCGGGCUGUAAACCGCUUUCAGUAGGGAAGAAGCGAAAGUGACGGUACCUACAAAAGAAGCACCGGCUAACUAUGUGCCAGCAGCCGCGGUAAUACAUAGGGUGCAAGCGUUGUCCGGAAUUAUUGGGCGUAAAGAGCUCGUAGGUCGUUUGUUACGUCGGAUGUGAAAACCUGAGGCUCAACCUCAGGCCUGCAUUCGAUACGGGCAAACUAGAGUUUGGUAGGGGAGACUGGAAUUCCUGGUGUAGCGGUGGAAUGCGCAGAUAUCAGGAGGAACACCAAUGGCGAAGGCAGGUCUCUGGGCCAAUACUGACACUGAGGAGCGAAAGUCUGGGGAGCGAACAGGAUUAGAUACCCUGGUAGUCCAGACCGUAAACGGUGGGCACUAGUUGUGGGAACCUUCCACGGUUUCUGCGACGCAGCUAACGCAUUAAGUGCCCCGCCUGGGGAGUACGAUCGCAAGAUUAAAACUCAAAUGAAUUGACCGGNNGAGAGNGCGACGACGACGACGAGGAGAG
RNAcentral lists this ribosomal RNA (598 nucleotides) under uncultured bacterium. RNAcentral describes it as "bacterial SSU rRNA". It matches the Rfam family "Bacterial small subunit ribosomal RNA", at positions 338 to 960 of the family's 1533-position model. The record is from RNAcentral.